RNAcentral lists this ribosomal RNA (1372 nucleotides) under uncultured bacterium. RNAcentral's name for it is "bacterial SSU rRNA". It matches the Rfam family "Bacterial small subunit ribosomal RNA", at positions 28 to 1381 of the family's 1533-position model. The record is from RNAcentral.
GAUGAACGCUGGCGGCGUGCCUAAUACAUGCAAGUCGAGCGAACGGACGAGAAGCUUGCUUCUCUGAUGUUAGCGGCGGACGGGUGAGUAACACGUGGAUAACCUACCUAUAAGACUGGGAUAACUUCGGGAAACCGGAGCUAAUACCGGAUAAUAUUUUGAACCGCAUGGUUCAAAAGUGAAAGACGGUCUUGCUGUCACUUAUAGAUGGAUCCGCGCUGCAUUAGCUAGUUGGUAAGGUAACGGCUUACCAAGGCAACGAUGCAUAGCCGACCUGAGAGGGUGAUCGGCCACACUGGAACUGAGACACGGUCCAGACUCCUACGGGAGGCAGCAGUAGGGAAUCUUCCGCAAUGGGCGAAAGCCUGACGGAGCAACGCCGCGUGAGUGAUGAAGGUCUUCGGAUCGUAAAACUCUGUUAUUAGGGAAGAACAUAUGUGUAAGUAACUGUGCACAUCUUGACGGUACCUAAUCAGAAAGCCACGGCUAACUACGUGCCAGCAGCCGCGGUAAUACGUAGGUGGCAAGCGUUAUCCGGAAUUAUUGGGCGUAAAGCGCGCGUAGGCGGUUUUUUAAGUCUGAUGUGAAAGCCCACGGCUCAACCGUGGAGGGUCAUUGGAAACUGGAAAACUUGAGUGCAGAAGAGGAAAGUGGAAUUCCAUGUGUAGCGGUGAAAUGCGCAGAGAUAUGGAGGAACACCAGUGGCGAAGGCGACUUUCUGGUCUGUAACUGACGCUGAUGUGCGAAAGCGUGGGGAUCAAACAGGAUUAGAUACCCUGGUAGUCCACGCCGUAAACGAUGAGUGCUAAGUGUUAGGGGGUUUCCGCCCCUUAGUGCUGCAGCUAACGCAUUAAGCACUCCGCCUGGGGAGUACGACCGCAAGGUUGAAACUCAAAGGAAUUGACGGGGACCCGCACAAGCGGUGGAGCAUGUGGUUUAAUUCGAAGCAACGCGAAGAACCUUACCAAAUCUUGACAUCCUUUGACAACUCUAGAGAUAGAGCCUUCCCCUUCGGGGGACAAAGUGACAGGUGGUGCAUGGUUGUCGUCAGCUCGUGUCGUGAGAUGUUGGGUUGAGUCCCGCAACGAGCGCAACCCUUAAGCUUAGUUGCCAUCAUUAAGUUGGGCACUCUAAGUUGACUGCCGGUGACAAACCGGAGGAAGGUGGGGAUGACGUCAAAUCAUCAUGCCCCUUAUGAUUUGGGCUACACACGUGCUACAAUGGACAAUACAAAGGGCAGCGAAACCGCGAGGUCAAGCAAAUCCCAUAAAGUUGUUCUCAGUUCGGAUUGUAGUCUGCAACUCGACUACAUGAAGCUGGAAUCGCUAGUAAUCGUAGAUCAGCAUGCUACGGUGAAUACGUUCCCGGGUCU